Solanum dulcamara is the source of this 2484-nucleotide RNA transcript. RefSeq lists it as uncharacterized. The record is from RefSeq and is a predicted model, not a curated record. The transcript has 11 exons. NCBI's taxonomy places the organism in Eukaryota, Viridiplantae, Streptophyta, Magnoliopsida, Solanales, Solanaceae.
UCAAACACACUUCUUCAUAUUCAAAUCCGUCGGUUACUCUUCACAAUCUUCUUCAGUUUCCCGCUACUCUCUCUAAAAAAAAAAAAAUUCUCUAUAUCUUAAGCCCUAACUUCACUGAAAAAGGGUCAGUCACAUUCAAUUAUAAUGCCCUGCUUCUCUCUUUCUCUCUCUACAAUUUAGUUUAAGGAUAUUCUUUGGCCGCAAUAUCAUGAUACACGUUAAAGAGGAAGCUCCAACUCUGGACAUUGGUGGAUUCAUUUCAUGUUCAUCUUUCUCUGAUAGCAGUUAUGAGGCUAGCACUCCGAGAUGCUCCUCCGAGCCUGGUUCCAGUUGUCGAAGGAGCUCAGGUCCAACUAAACGUUCUUCUCAGGCAGGCUGGACAGAAGAAGAGGACAAUCUGUUGACUGAAGUGGUGAAAAGGUUCAAAGGAAGAAACUGGAAAAGAAUUGCCGGGUGCUUGAAUGGAAGGACUGAUGUGCAGUGCUUGCAUCGCUGGCAGAAGGUUCUGAAUCCUGAGCUUGUAAAGGGUCCGUGGACAAAGGAGGAGGAUGACCUGAUUAAUGAGUUAGUUGAGAAAUAUGGCUGUAAGAAGUGGUCCGUUAUUGCAAAGUCUUUGCCUGGUCGCAUUGGCAAGCAAUGUCGGGAAAGGUGGCACAACCAUCUUGAUCCAACAAUAAAAAGAGAUGCCUGGACUGAACAGGAGGAAUCGGUCCUAUGCCACUAUCACCAAAUAUAUGGGAACAAGUGGGCUAAAAUUGCGAGGUUUCUGCCCGGAAGGACUGAUAAUGCAAUUAAAAAUCAUUGGAAUUCCACAGUGAAGAAAAGAUCGAACUUGAAUUUACCAAGUAGGUUAGUGCUGGAUAACCAAAGUGAGGGAUCUUCGGAUUUCUCAACUCACAAGAAAAACCUGGAGAUCAAGAAGCAUCCAGCACAGGCUCAUAAUGCAGAAACAGUCUUUUUGAGCGAGCAGACAGGAGUAGCUAAUGCUGCUGAUGCUUGCUCAACUGAUCUGAGAAUUGGAUAUGCUAAUUCUCCUCAAAAUGUUUUGCAUAAGGGUACUACUUUAUUUGGAGCCUGUAAAUCACCAGAACAGAAUGCGAGGGAUCUGAUAAAGCCACUUGGUGGAAUACAAUUUGGCAAGGUAGCAAUUCUUCCAAUUGGUGAGACAGAUAAACAAUGCCAAUCCACUUUAAAUUUCACUAAAAUAUCAUAUCCACCCUUGGCCUCUUCUUUAGAUUUCCCUUUGGAUCCGUCACACAACAUUAGAUGGAGUAGUUCUCAAGUUGAGGCUGUUUGUCCUACUUCUUUUGGGAGAAUGUAUGAAUCUCCCAAAAGGUCUAGGUACGAUUCUGUUAAUGAUCCUGACCAUGAUUUUUUGAGUUUGUCAUUGGCUGACUUCACCAAGGUUUCCCAAGGUAACAAGAAGAAUAAAGCAUAUGAUACACAAUCUUCUUUGGCUCUCAAGCAGCCCGGCCGCUUAUAUUAUGAACCUCCAAAAGUAAAGGACUUGAUGAUUCCUUUAAUGGAUGAAAACCUUAGUAGAGACAACCUUAUCGGGCAACAUAAUGGGCAUCCACUUUGCUCUACCCCUCCUAGUCUUAAGCUAACAGUCUCUGCUAAUGGUAGCAGUCCAGAAUCUGUGCUAAGGAACUCUGCAAUGAGCUACACAAAAACUCCUUCAAUCAUAAGAAAGAAGAUUUCAAGAUUUACAGAAUCUUCUGGACAUUAUAGUAGCACAGGCACUACCACGCCUAUGCAUUUUCUCCCGAGUGCUCCUGACAAGGAAGACGCCUCAAGCCUGAAUGACAGGAUUUCUGGAUAUAAAAGAUCAGUUUCAGGAAAAUCUCUUGGAAGACGGUUGGAAUAUGCCUUUGAUAUGGAAUGGGAUUCCUCUAGAUGUUGCACACCAGUUUCUGCAGCUCCACCUUGUGGACUUACUCUUGGUGCUAAUACAAUGUUGACACCAUAAAAACAGAGGAGUAGUACAUUUUUGAGCGGCUACACUUCCGGAUUCGCAGGAUACAGACAUUGACAUUUUUUUACAUAGCAAGGAAUGAGCUAUAGAGGAUUUGUCUGGAGAAGCAUUUGUUGUAGAUUACAAGCAGAGUCAGUCAAAUCAUACUAAAUGAUGGAUCAAUCAGAGAAUUCUCAACGCAUGUCAAUUAUCGAGGUAACAAAAACCAGUGAAGCAAUGACAUGCUGAGACACUUGACGGAAUUAAGACCAUGUUGAAGCUGAAUAAUUAGUUGGAGAUGGAAGCUUAAUGAGAAAAUUUCGCGAAAGGUAUAAAUAUAUGACAAACAUAUAAACUUAUUGGGGCAAUUCUUGUUUUCGGAGUUGCAAAAUUCUGUAUGGAUGUACUUUGAAAAACUCCUGUCCUAUUCCAGAAGUCUAGCGGAAGAAGAGGAUUGUUUGUAAAUAUGCAUUUAAAUCAAUUGCCUGCAGUUUUGUGGCAUUUUACAUUGUUGCAAAGAUGUGUUCCUA